RNAcentral lists this ribosomal RNA (395 nucleotides) under Vibrio gallicus. Its description in RNAcentral is "bacterial SSU rRNA". It matches the Rfam family "Bacterial small subunit ribosomal RNA", at positions 94 to 485 of the family's 1533-position model. The record is from RNAcentral. Lineage: Bacteria; Pseudomonadati; Pseudomonadota; Gammaproteobacteria; Vibrionales; Vibrionaceae.
AGCGGCGGACGGGUGAGUAAUGCCUGGGAAAUUGCCCUGAUGUGGGGGAUAACCAUUGGAAACGAUGGCUAAUACCGCAUAAUAGCUUCGGCUCAAAGAGGGGGACCUUCGGGCCUCUCGCGUCAGGAUAUGCCCAGGUGGGAUUAGCUAGUUGGUGAGGUAAGGGCUCACCAAGGCAACGAUCCCUAGCUGGUCUGAGAGGAUGAUCAGCCACACUGGAACUGAGACACGGUCCAGACUCCUACGGGAGGCAGCAGUGGGGAAUAUUGCACAAUGGGCGCAAGCCUGAUGCAGCCAUGCCGCGUGUAUGAAGAAGGCCUUCGGGUUGUAAAGUACUUUCAGCAGUGAGGAAGGUUCAUACGUUAAUAGCGUAUGGAUUUGACGUUAGCUGCAAA